UGUUAAUCAAUUGUCCAUGCUUUCAAAAGG
RNAcentral lists this non-coding RNA (30 nucleotides) under Rattus norvegicus (Norway rat). The record is from RNAcentral. Lineage: Eukaryota; Metazoa; Chordata; Mammalia; Rodentia; Muridae.